Molecule: ribosomal RNA, 520 nt
Filed under: uncultured Scutellospora
Lineage: Eukaryota; Fungi; Glomeromycota; Glomeromycetes; Diversisporales; Gigasporaceae
Description: SSU rRNA
Rfam family: Eukaryotic small subunit ribosomal RNA
Source: RNAcentral
AGCAGCCGCGGUAAUUCCAGCUCCAAUAGCGUAUAUUAAAGUUGUUGCAGUUAAAAAGCUCGUAGUUGAAUUUCGGGGUUCCACCGUUGGUCGGGCUAUUGUCUGUACUGGCGUGUGGAAUUUCUACCUUCUGGGGAACUAUCAUGUUAUUAAUUUAGCGUGGUAGGAAACCAGGACCAUUACCUUGAAAAAAUUAGAGUGUUCAAAGCAGGCUUAUGUCUGAAUACAUUAGCAUGGAAUAAUAAAAUAGGACGGUGGUCCUGUUUUGUUGGUUUCUGAAUCACCGUAAUGAUUAAUAGGGAUAGUUGGGGGCAUUAGUAUUCAAUUGUCAGAGGUGAAAUUCUUGGAUUUAUUGAAGACUAACUACUGCGAAAGCAUUUGCCAAGGAUGUUUUCAUUAAUCAAGAACGAAAGUUAGGGGAUCGAAGACGAUCAGAUACCGUCGUAGUCUUAACCAUAAACUAUGCCGACUAGGGAUCGGACGAUGUUAACUUUUCUUGACUCGUUCGGCGCCUUACGGG